UACGUAGGGUGCAAGCGUUAAUCGGAAUUACUGGGCGUAAAGCGUGCGCAGGCGGUGAUGUAAGACAGGUGUGAAAUCCCCGGGCUUAACCUGGGAACUGCAUUUGUGACUGCAUCGCUGGAGUGCGGCAGAGGGGGAUGGAAUUCCGCGUGUAGCAGUGAAAUGCGUAGAGAUCGGGAGGAACACCAGUGGCGAAGGCGGCCCCCUGGGCCGUUCCUGACGCUGAGACGCGAAGGCGCGGGGAGCGAACGGG
RNAcentral lists this ribosomal RNA (253 nucleotides) under uncultured bacterium. Its description in RNAcentral is "partial 16S ribosomal RNA". It matches the Rfam family "Bacterial small subunit ribosomal RNA", at positions 524 to 776 of the family's 1533-position model. The record is from RNAcentral.